This 335-nucleotide unclassified non-coding RNA is filed under the name soil metagenome. RNAcentral's name for it is "partial contains 5.8S ribosomal RNA, internal transcribed spacer 2, and large subunit ribosomal RNA". The stretch from base 1 to 120 matches the Rfam family "5.8S ribosomal RNA", at positions 35 to 154 of the family's 154-position model. The record is from RNAcentral.
GAUGAAGAACGUAGCGAAAUGCGAUAAGUAAUGUGAAUUGCAGAAUUCAGUGAAUCAUCGAAUCUUUGAACGCACAUUGCGCCCAUUAGUAUUCUAGUGGGCAUGCCUGUUCGAGCGUCAUUUCAACCCUUAAGCCUAGCUUAGUGUUAGGAAUCUGCUGUAUUGCAGUUCCUCAAUACAACGGCGGAUCUGUAACAUCCUCUGAGCGUAGUAAAUUUUUAUCUCGCUUUUGUUAGGUGUUGCAGCUCUCAGCCGCUAAACCCCCCAAUUUUUGUGGUUGACCUCGGAUCAGGUAGGAAUACCCGCUGAACUUAAGCAUAUCAAUAAGCGGAGGA